GCAGUCAUGGCCUAAUGGUUAGAGUCUCAGACUUGUAACCUGAAGGUCGCGGGGUCGAGUCUCAGGUCCGGCA
This is a non-coding RNA of Pangasius djambal, 73 nucleotides long. NCBI's taxonomy places the organism in Eukaryota, Metazoa, Chordata, Actinopteri, Siluriformes, Pangasiidae. The record is from the annotation of a GenBank genome assembly.